AGGGAAGACCAUUUUCUUGUUUAGUUGGAAGGACAUAAAAGGAGAUUCCAGAACUUCUGUCCAGUAGAGGAAGGGAAAUAAAAGGAAGAAAUAAGUAAAAUUUAUGCCCAUACACUGACAUUUUCUUUUUCAUUCCUCAACUUGCCUUCCACUCAAUGAAGUAAGUCAAUACAAUCAUGGAUGGGGGAUUGCUAUCCAUAAACA
This 204-nucleotide unclassified non-coding RNA is filed under the name Hevea brasiliensis (rubber tree). The record is from RNAcentral. Lineage: Eukaryota; Viridiplantae; Streptophyta; Magnoliopsida; Malpighiales; Euphorbiaceae.